RNAcentral lists this long non-coding RNA (1018 nucleotides) under Mus pahari (shrew mouse). RNAcentral's name for it is "lncRNA (MGP_PahariEiJ_G0006017.1)". Lineage: Eukaryota; Metazoa; Chordata; Mammalia; Rodentia; Muridae. The record is from RNAcentral.
GGCACAUCCCGCGCGGUCCUAAUGCUUGAUGGUUCCAUCAGACUGUGGACGUGGGUUUGGGACUUUCGGACCACGGCGAGGUGAGCUCGGCCCGGAGCGGCAGAAGUGGGCGAGGUUCGCGUGGGAGAAUGGACAUCGACUUAGUUUUUUUCUUGAGAGAUGUGGCGGUGCCAUGGCUGCAGACCGUCUUCGCAUCAGCCACCGCCCUGGAUCACGCCGAAUGGGUUCCCAGCCCCUGCCGCCUCGUGAACUCCGCCAAAGUCAGCCACGGGACAUUACCAUAUUCUAAAACUUCACCUGGACCGUUGGUGUGAACGCUGGGACGAAGAUCCGGGAGUUAGGUCAGGAUGUAGCAGUGGUCUGGGGCGGCGAGCGCCCUUGCUCAGGCUGGCUGCAAGGAGCUGCUUUGGACCGGGUAUCCGGCUGAGGGGACCCUGUUGCUGGGGGUGCUUGGCCUAAUGGUUGCGGCUGGCUUGCAAGGUUAAGUUUAAGAACGCCCUCCUGCCCCAAAUCCAUGAUUUGCGCAAUCACUUAUUAGUUACAUUUUAGUUCCUAUCCGUGAACAUUUGGAAUUCUUGUGCUGGUGUGAAUUUCCUGUAACUCUUUUAAACAAUUUAAUAAGUUACUGUCUUGGCAGGGUUUUAGGUUUUUAAGCGACAUUACAUUUUUAAGGUUUGGAGACACCCCCACCCCAUGACUCUCUUUCAGUGAUAUGUAUAGCUCAACCAUAAAAAUCAGUUUAAAAACCAAGCCAACCCAAGGGGCCAUGAUUCCUCUCAGAGCCAUCAGGACUAUCCUUCUAUGGCUGUCUCACUUGUGCUGUAGCCUGACUGCCUGUCAAGAAGGAGUUCUUGGCAUGCUGUUUGUCAGUCCAUGGCUGUAAAUAAAUAUAAAUCUGUGCUCAGGGGCAGGGGAAACAGGAUGAUGAUGAUGAUUUGAGGGUCCAUAAAAGUAGUUUCUUUGUGAGUUUGUUUUUUUUUUAAUUUUCCUACAGUUUUAAAUAAAGAACUUAUACCAC